GUGUGCAUCGUGCAUCCUUGCAGUGAUUCAGCCCUUGUGUGAGAAAACCAGGCGCAGGCGCAGAUGGCUGACCCAUGCAGUCCUGCUGAGUCCUGACUCACUGUGCUGCCCGAAGGCCUUCCUCUGGGUGGCUCCUCUACAGUGACUGUCACCUUAGAAAUGCAUGGGUCCUGGUGACCGGAGGGUGACACUCGGGUGGAAGAUCGACAGUCUUACCUGGCUUCUUUAGCCAAGAAACAAGCAUGCUGAAUUGUCCUGAGCAACGAAAGGGUCUGAAGACCACGGAUAUGCAGAGAGGAAAUGGUAACUGCCCUAGCAUUUGAAUCUGAUUUCUCAGAAGUGCCACCGCCUCUCUUUGUGGCUUUGAGAGCCAAUAGGGAGGGUCAGUGUCACUGCUCCUCCAGCCCAGCACGCCCCUCCUGGCAGGGUUUGGUUGCCCUCCUGAAAAGGAACAUCUCACGGGUAAUGACGCCCUUCUGGUCUUCUUCUGAGAACUGUAGCUCCUGCCUGUCCCCUGGAAGAGGGCAUCUAGGGGAAGAAGAGACCAGGUGGGUGGGGCCGAGGACAGAAAUGCAGAGUCGCUGUCCUGCUAAGGAGAAACCCAGCUGCUCUGUGCCAGGAGGAAGAGCCCCCACCUCUGAAAGGGGCUGAAGAUGUCUUGACUGGGUGACCAGGGUCCGUGUGCACUGUGCUAAUUAUAAUCAGGCCCCAGUGACAGGGCAGGCAGUGAUGUCCCCAUCACAUGGCACUAGACCCAGAGGGUUGCCCAGGAGUCCACCUGGCCACCUCUGGCCUGCACAUGGACUCCCCGUGGCCCGAGAACAUGUUUCUGUAAUGGUUCUUUGCGGGUAGUGGGGUUGGAGGAGUUUUGAACACCUGGAGUGUAAAGCCACACUGACUCUCCUGAUGCCAGGAGUGCUGUGGUGCCUCCCAGCUGGCCCCUCGGGGUGGGGUCUUUGGGGGUGUCACCUGCUCGCCACAGCCCCACCAGGCAUGCUGCUCCCUUCCCUCACUAGACGGGAAUCUAGCAUCUCAGGACAGAUGGGGUCUGAAGUCCCCUGGGUCUCACGUGCACAGUGGACAAGGGCCCCAGGCUGCUCCUGGGCGCUGCUGGCUCACUUUCCAGGGCUGUAGCCUGCUGAGGGCUCUCCUGUGGCCCGCAGGGUGGCCCGCACGGUGGCCCGCAGUGCCCCCAGCCCCUGCCCGAUGGAUGCCAGUGGUUCUUCUUGCUUCCCACAGAUGUCUCCGGACGGCCAGACGGCCCCUGGGGAGCAAUCCCUGCCUGGGCCCCAGAACCUCUGGUCUAAGCGAACAUGGCACGCAGCACCUGCAAGAGCAGGGACUGCUGACUUUAGUAACGGCAUGGUGUUGGUGGCAUCCGGUUUUAGACUGUCGCCUGGAGAUGUCACUGGGUUUUGGGUUUUUAGUCCCAAGUGACCUCGUAUGGGCUGAGGUUCUGCACACAGCAGCAUACAUGUGUCAAGGGUUUCAGUGGGAUGUGUAAUAAAGACA
Molecule: non-coding RNA, 1512 nt
Organism: Heterocephalus glaber (naked mole-rat)
Lineage: Eukaryota; Metazoa; Chordata; Mammalia; Rodentia; Bathyergidae
Source: RefSeq, a predicted model, not a curated record